Molecule: microRNA precursor, 78 nt
Filed under: Setaria italica (foxtail millet)
Lineage: Eukaryota; Viridiplantae; Streptophyta; Magnoliopsida; Poales; Poaceae
Description: pre miRNA mir-2973
Source: RNAcentral
GCUAGCACAGAUCACCCCAUCUGUGCUGGCGGUGGGCUUAGGUCGACUGCCAGCACAGAUGGGGUGAUCUGUGCUGAC